This 253-nucleotide ribosomal RNA is filed under the name uncultured bacterium. Its description in RNAcentral is "partial 16S ribosomal RNA". It matches the Rfam family "Bacterial small subunit ribosomal RNA", at positions 524 to 776 of the family's 1533-position model. The record is from RNAcentral.
UACGGGGGGGGCAAGCGUUGUUCGGAAUUACUGGGCGUAAAGGGCUCGUAGGCGGCCAACUAAGUCGGACGUGAAAUCCCCAGGCUCAACCUGGGAACUGCGUCCGAUACUGGAUGGCUUGAAUCCGGGAGAGGGAUGCAGAAUUCCAGGUGUAGCGGUGAAAUGCGUAGAUAUCUGGAGGAAUACCGGUGGCGAAGGCGGGUCUCUGGGCAGUAACUGACGCUGAGGAGCGAAAGCGUGGGGAGCGAACAGG